CGACGUAGGUAACCUGCCUUGUAGCGGGGGAGUAACUAUUGGAAACGAUAGCUAAUACCGCAUAACAAUGGAUGACACAUGUCAUUUAUUUGAAAGGGGCAAUUGCUCCACUACAAGAUGGACCUGCGUUGUAUUAGCUAGUAGGUGAGGUAACGGCUCACCUAGGCGACGAUACAUAGCCAACCUGAGAGGGUGAUCGGCCACACUGGGACUGAGACACGGCCCAG
This 227-nucleotide ribosomal RNA is filed under the name uncultured bacterium. RNAcentral describes it as "partial 16S ribosomal RNA". It matches the Rfam family "Bacterial small subunit ribosomal RNA", at positions 113 to 334 of the family's 1533-position model. The record is from RNAcentral.